RNAcentral lists this ribosomal RNA (253 nucleotides) under uncultured bacterium. RNAcentral describes it as "partial 16S ribosomal RNA". It matches the Rfam family "Bacterial small subunit ribosomal RNA", at positions 524 to 776 of the family's 1533-position model. The record is from RNAcentral.
UACGGAGGGGGCUAGCGUUGUUCGGAAUUACUGGGCGUAAAGCGCACGUAGGCGGCUUUGUAAGUUAGAGGUGUAAGCCCGGGGCUCAACUCCGGAAUUGCCUUUAAGACUGCAUCGCUAGAAUUGUGGAGAGGUAAGUGGAAUUCCGAGUGUAGAGGUGAAAUUCGUAGAUAUUCGGAAGAACACCGGUGGCGAAGGCGGCCUGCUGGGCAGUAGCUGACGCUGAUGCGCGACAGCGUGGGGAGCAAACAGG